RNAcentral lists this ribosomal RNA (1639 nucleotides) under human gut metagenome. RNAcentral's name for it is "bacterial LSU rRNA". It matches the Rfam family "Bacterial large subunit ribosomal RNA", at positions 1138 to 2794 of the family's 2925-position model. The record is from RNAcentral.
UAGCUCACUGGUCGAGUGAUCCUGCGCCGAAGAUUUCCGGGGCUAAAACUUACUACCGAAGCUACGGCAUCAGUAAUGAUGGGUAGGGGAGCUUCCCAUACGGGUUGAAGCAUGACCGUAAGGACAUGUGGACAGUAUGGGAGUGAGAAUGUUGGCAUGAGUAGCGAGAUGUGGGUGAGAAUCCCACAGGCCGUAAACCCAAGGUUUCCAGGGGAAGGUUCGUCCGCCCUGGGUUAGUCGGGACCUAAGCUGAGGCCGAAAGGCGUAGGUGAUGGACAACAGGUUGAUAUUCCUGUACUACCGAUAACCGUUUGAGAGAAGGGAUGACACAGUAGGAUAAGCUAAGCACACUGUUGGUUAUGUGUGCCCAAGCAUUGAGGCAGUCAAAGCAGGCAAAUCCGCUUUGAUAAUGCUGGGAUGUGAUGGGGAGCGAAAUUUAGUAGCGAAGUAGCUGAUUUCACACUGUCAAGAAAAGUCUCUAUCGAGGUUAAAGGUACCCGUACCGCAAACCGACACAGGUGGGUGAGGAGAGUAUCCUAAGGCCAGCGAGAGAACUGUUGUUAAGGAACUCGGCAAAAUGACCCCGUAACUUAGGGAUAAGGGGUGCCACCAUCCGGUGGCCGCAGAGAAUAGGCCCAAGCGACUGUUUACCAAAAACAUAGGUUUCUGCUAAGUCGCAAGACGAUGUAUAGGAGCUGACGCCUGCCCGGUGCUGGAAGGUUAAGGGGAUCUGUUAGAGUAAUCGAAGCAGUGAACUUAAGCCCCAGUAAACGGCGGCCGUAACUAUAACGGUCCUAAGGUAGCGAAAUUCCUUGUCGGGUAAGUUCCGACCCGCACGAAAGGCGUAACGAUUUGGGCACUGUCUCAACAACAGACUCGGUGAAAUUGUAAUUCCGGUGAAGAUGCCGGAUACCUGCGACAGGACGGAAAGACCCCAUGGAGCUUUACUGUAGCUUGACAUUGGGUCUUGGUACUACAUGUACAGGAUAGGUGGGAGGCUUUGAAACCAGGACGCCAGUUUUGGCGGAGCCAUCCUUGGGAUACCACCCUUGUAGUACUGGGACUCUAACCAUAGGCCAUGAAUCUGGUCUUGGGACACUGUCAGGUGGGCAGUUUGACUGGGGCGGUCGCCUCCCAAAAGGUAACGGAGGCGCUCAAAGGUUCUCUCAGUACGGUCGGAAAUCGUACGUAGAGUGUAAAGGCAAAAGAGAGCUUGAUUGCAAGACAUACAGGUCGAGCAAGGAUGAAAAUCGGACUUAGUGAUCCGGUGGUUCUGCGUGGAAGGGCCAUCGCUCAACGGAUAAAAGCUACCCUGGGGAUAACAGGCUUAUCUCCCCCAAGAGUCCACAUCGACGGGGAGGUUUGGCACCUCGAUGUCGGCUCAUCACAUCCUGGGGCUGUAGUAGGUCCCAAGGGUUGGGCUGUUCGCCCAUUAAAGUGGUACGCGAGCUGGGUUCAGAACGUCGUGAGACAGUUCGGUCCCUAUCCGUCGCAGGCGUAGGAAAUUUGAGAAGACCUGUCCUUAGUACGAGAGGACCGGGAUGGACGUACCUCUGGUGUACCAGUUGUUCUGCCAAGGGCAUGGCUGGGUAGCUAUGUACGGAAUGGAUAAGCGCUGAAAGCAUCUAAGCGCGAAGCC